CACCUGCUCUGCCACACACCUCAGUCUGGACAACAAACUGGACGUCACUUUGGAGUUUGAUCACGGGGAACCAUUUAAAUCAGUGAUUCCUUCAGUUCUGACAGUUUUGGCUCUGAUGUUGGCGUUUGGGGCUGCAGCGGCUAUAUCUGCAUGGAAAAGACAACCUUCAGAUUCCUAUAUAAGUGGUUAUUCUACUCCUA
Long non-coding RNA from Sinocyclocheilus rhinocerous, 200 nucleotides. RefSeq lists it as uncharacterized. The transcript is spliced from 3 exons. Lineage: Eukaryota; Metazoa; Chordata; Actinopteri; Cypriniformes; Cyprinidae. The record is from RefSeq and is a predicted model, not a curated record.